ACAACUUCACACUAAAUCUCCUGCAGGAGCAUGUUGCCAGUUGCAGAGAUAAAACCUCAAUGAAACACAAUUAGUUUCCACUUGGAUUAGCCAAACUCGCGUCUCUCCUCCCAGCCAGACACCCCGGCAGCGGGAUGGGGACGGCUCGGUGGCAGCCCCCUGUGUCCCCAGCCCUGCUGGGACCGGGACGGCUCUGCCCGGGGGGAGGAUAACUCUCUUUUCACGGCUAAGGGGAGCUGACAAGUGAUGAAUACACGGAGCGCUGCAGGGCAGCCCCUGCCAUCUCACCGAGGACGGCGGCUCAUCACGGCUGGUUUGCUGCGGUUCUCUGAGACACGGUGUCUCUUCUGUACAUGAGCUGGCCUGAGCUGAAGAAUUCCACGCUCCUACAGCAGCGUCAUGGAAAACACCACUUGCCACAGCACAGAACGAGGUGGGUUGCGAAGUUUUGCAGAGACUGAGACAGCAAAGCCAUGGGGAUCUGCUGUUCCUUGGCUUCAGGAUCCUAAUUCUGGCUCUGUUCUCCUACACCUUCGAUUACAGUUCCUAUAACGCAGCUGAACAACCUGCUGUGCAACCUUCCUCCACAGGGAUUCAUGGGCAUAUUUUGAAAGCCUCUUUGCUCCAAGCCCCCACAAAAAAAAAAA
Molecule: long non-coding RNA, 647 nt
Organism: Parus major (Great Tit)
Lineage: Eukaryota; Metazoa; Chordata; Aves; Passeriformes; Paridae
Exons: 2
Source: RefSeq, a predicted model, not a curated record